GUGAACCAGUACCGUGAGGGAAAGGCGAAAAGAACCCCGGCGAGGGGAGUGAAAAAGAACCUGAAACCGUGUACGUACAAGCAGUGGGAGCACCCUUUGGGGUGUGACUGCGUACCUUUUGUAUAAUGGGUCAGCGACUUAUAUUCUGUAGCAAGGUUAACCGAAUAGGGGAGCCGGAGGGAAACCGAGUCUUAAUUGGGCGUUAAGUUGCAGGGUAUAGACCCGAAACCCGGUGAUCUAGCCAUGGGCAGGUUGAAGGUUGGGUAACACUAACUGGAGGACCGAACCGACUAAUGUUGAAAAAUUAGCGGAUGACCUGUGGCUGGGGGUGAAAGGCCAAUCAAACCGGGAGAUAGCUGGUUCUCCCCGAAAGCUAUUUAGGUAGCGCCUCGUGAAUUCAUCUCCGGGGGUAGAGCACUGUUUCGGCUAGGGGGCCAUCCCGGCUUACCAACCCGAUGCAAACUGCGAAUACCGGAGAAUGUUAUCACGGGAGACACACGGCGGGUGCUAACGUCCGUCGUGAAGAGGGAAACAACCCAGACCGCCAGCUAAGGUCCCAAAGUCAUGGUUAAGUGGGAAACGAUGUGGGAAGGCCCAGACAGCCAGGAUGUUGGCUUAGAAGCAGCCAUCAUUUAAAGAAAGCGUAAUAGCUCACUGGUCGAGUCGGCCUGCGCGGAAGAUGUAACGGGGCUAAACCAUGCACCGAAGCUGCGGCAGCGAACGUAUCACCCAAGACAACUUUACGGAGUUGACGAUUGACGGAGCGAAGCGACGUCAAAGCGUUCAUUAAAGUCGAGUUGGCUUAGGGAUACGUUCGUUGGGUAGGGGAGCGUUCUGUAAGCCUGUGAAGGUGUGUCGUGAGGCAUGCUGGAGGUAUCAGAAGUGCGAAUGCUGACAUAAGUAACGAUAAAGCGGGUGAAAAGCCCGCUCGCCGGAAGACCAAGGGUUCCUGUCCAACGUUAAUCGGGGCAGGGUGAGUCGACCCCUAAGGCGAGGCCGAAAGGCGUAGUCGAUGGGAAACGGGUUAAUAUUCCCGUACUUGGUGUUACUGCGAAGGGGGGACGGAGAAGGCUAUGUUGGCCGGGCGACGGUUGUCCCGGUUUAAGCGUGUAGGUGUGUGUUCCAGGUAAAUCCGGUUCACUU
RNAcentral lists this ribosomal RNA (1143 nucleotides) under Salmonella enterica subsp. enterica serovar Typhimurium. RNAcentral describes it as "partial 23S ribosomal RNA". It matches the Rfam family "Bacterial large subunit ribosomal RNA", at positions 490 to 1552 of the family's 2925-position model. Lineage: Bacteria; Pseudomonadati; Pseudomonadota; Gammaproteobacteria; Enterobacterales; Enterobacteriaceae. The record is from RNAcentral.